Long non-coding RNA from Xiphophorus couchianus (Monterrey platyfish), 193 nucleotides. RefSeq lists it as uncharacterized. The transcript is spliced from 3 exons. The record is from RefSeq and is a predicted model, not a curated record. NCBI's taxonomy places the organism in Eukaryota, Metazoa, Chordata, Actinopteri, Cyprinodontiformes, Poeciliidae.
CUUCAUUAGGUUUUCUAUCACUUUAAUAUUUCUGCUAUAACUGAUGUGUAUUUGCAUAUAAAAUAAGUCAAUAGAGUUUCAUUUACAAUUUUUAUAUCUUCGUGUUAUGAGGCAGAUCUCAGCCAGCUGGUGACAGAAAAAGUACAUCUUGGUCUCAAAACGUUUGGACUCCCAUCACUGUGCUAUAUAAAUA